CCUACGGGUGGCAGCAGUAGGGAAUAUUGCUCAAUGGGGGAAACCCUGAAGCAGCAACGCCGCGUGGAGGAUGAAGGUUUUCGGAUUGUAAACUCCUUUUGUUAGAGAAGAUAAUGACGGUAUCUAACGAAUAAGCACCGGCUAACUCCGUGCCAGCAGCAGCGGUAAUACGGCGGGUGCAACGGUUACUCGGAAGCACUGGUGGUAAAGGGGGUGUAGGCGGGAUAGCAGGUCGGAUGUGAAGUCCUAUGGCUUAACCAUAGAACUGCAUUUGAAACUGUUAUUCUAGAGUAUGGGAGAGGAAGGUGGAAUUCUUGGUGUAGCGGUAAAAUCCGUAGAGAUCAAGAGGAAUAGUAAUGGCGAAGGCGACCUGCUAGAACAUAACUGACGCUGAUGCGCGAAAGCGUGGGGAGCAAACAGGAUUAGAUACCCGAGUAGUC
RNAcentral lists this ribosomal RNA (440 nucleotides) under uncultured bacterium. RNAcentral describes it as "partial 16S ribosomal RNA". It matches the Rfam family "Bacterial small subunit ribosomal RNA", at positions 338 to 795 of the family's 1533-position model. The record is from RNAcentral.